Non-coding RNA from Sorex araneus (European shrew), 412 nucleotides. Lineage: Eukaryota; Metazoa; Chordata; Mammalia; Eulipotyphla; Soricidae. The record is from the annotation of a RefSeq genome assembly.
GAGAGCGCUCUCGAAACCUCUCACCAUGGCCUGGGUUCCCUUCUACCUUCUGUCCUUCAUUUUUUCCCAAGGAUUUUGUGCUCCACCCACGGUGACUCAGACCCCUUCUGCCUCUGCCUCACCCGGAGCCUCAACCAAACUCACCUGCACCUUAAGCCAGGAGCACAGCAGCUACUUUAUUGAGUGGUAUCAACAGAUUCAAGGCAAGGUCCCAACUUUCCUGAUGCAAGUUAAAAGUGAUGGAACCUUCAGCAAAGGGGACAACGUUCCUGAUCGCUUCUCAGGCUCCAGCUCAGGGGCUGACCGCUACUUAACCAUCUCAAACAUCCAAUCUGUGGAUGAGGCUGAGUACUACUGUGGUGUAAGCUAUAAUAGCUGGUUUUCCACAGUGAUAAAAACAAAGGAGAAGUGA